Molecule: RNA transcript, 7178 nt
Organism: Aphis gossypii (cotton aphid)
Lineage: Eukaryota; Metazoa; Arthropoda; Insecta; Hemiptera; Aphididae
Gene name: dolichyl-diphosphooligosaccharide--protein glycosyltransferase subunit 4
Exons: 5
Source: RefSeq, a predicted model, not a curated record
AUCUGGACGUGGCAGAUAUUGUCUAUGAUUCCAGGAUAUUAUUUUUUACUCCAUGACCGGGCGGUGAUCUUAUCAAAUCCGGCUCCGUCAUCAUUCAAUACUCAUUACCGUUGUCAGUUAACACGACAACAUAUAAUAUUAUUCUUAAUAUUAUAAUUUUAUGUGGUUACCGAUUGGCUAUUACCAUUACUGAAGCGGCAAGUCGUUUAAAAAUUGAUUGAGUAGUAAGCACACACUGUACAUCAACGGGAAGCUUGUGUGCUGGCCGCUAAAAGAUAUUGUCCGAAAAUAAAUUUGUAAAUUUUUGAUCAUCUCUUAUUCUCUCGGUGUUGCGAUCAAGUACGAGACACACCGCUGUCCAAUAAUGAUUACAGACGUUCAAUUAGCUGUAUUUGCCAAUGUAUUGGGUGUUGGCUUAUUUCUUCUAGUUGUUCUCUACCAUUACGUCACUGCAAAUUUUCCAUCAAAAUAAUUUUAUCAUUAAUAUCCAUGUGAACUACAUUCCGGCAAGUGGCAAUAUAUAGCACGAUGUUCAACUACAAGUUGGAUAUCAUUCCACAUUUAAUACAAAAUGAAAUAAUACUCAAUUUAUUUUUCAAACUAAAUUCACCUCUUCAAUGUUUACAGAAAAUUAAUUUAAAUUAAAAAAAUAUAUGUAGGGUCAUUCAAAUUAUUGUAAUUUUUUCUUUAAAGUACUUUGAAUGACCCUGCAUUGAGUCAUAUAUUAAUCAAUUCAUCAACACAAAAAUUAAUUUUAUACAAAAAAAUAAUCUAUUUUUAUUUUUUAUAUAAUUAUAAUCUUUUUUUCUCCAUACAUUCAGUUUAAUAUAAUUAAUUAGAGUAUUAUUAUCAAAAGUAUAUUAUGUACACUAUUUGCUUAAAUUAAAUUAUUAAAUAUUUAUACUUCAUUUAAUUUUAUAAUUUGAUUAGCCAAUUUUAUUGAAAUUAAAAUUACAAUAUUACUGUUUGUACAAUUAUGUGUACUGAUAUAUUAUAAUUAAUAAAGGCUAUAAGAUUUUUAUCUUUAUGCUAAAUACCCAGUACUCGGACAGAUCAUUGUGUUUAAGUCAUUGGUUGAGCAAAAUGUUUAUUAGAUGAAUAAAAUAAUAAGAUUCUGAAGAACUUGAGGUAGGUACCUAUGUAUACUCAUGAUAAUAGCCACUUAUAACAUUAAAUUUCUAUGAUCAACAACCAGUCAUCUGUACUUAUAUUAUAUAACAGGGAUAGCAGUUUUUCUAAUGUUACGUGCCAAAAACUACGUAAUAUUUUUUUUCUGCACGUCAUUUAAUUAUUAAAUGUAUGUAAAAAUAUGAAAAUAUUUAUAGAAUUUAUACUUAGCCGUCGCAUCGUUUUACGUCUAAAAUGUUUAAGCGAACCUACAAUAUUUAAAGACGUUAACAUUAAUGGAAAAGUUUAAAGUACAUAUAAUAGAAUCUUGUUUAUCAUUGAAAAUAAAAUACAAUUUGUAUACAAUUUUAAUGUUUAAUGAACUGAUAUUGUUCCUUUACUAAUUUUGGAUACGUUUAUCUAGUAUUCUAGUUAUAUCGUAUUAUAUAGGUCCCUCGUUCCUAUGCGGCUAUGCUAUUGUAUUUUAUUUACGGCUACCUAUAAUAUAUUGGUAUUUGGUUGUCUGUAGGUUAUCCGCGCAAAAGUAAAAUAGGUAGGUAUCUUAAUUAUUGAGAACUUUAGUGAAAUAGGUAGGUACUUACAUGAUACCAUAUUAAAUUUGUUCUGUUAGUUACACAAUUUAAAAAUAUCGAAAUUCUCAUUUGAGAAGGAUCAAUUAGAUCUAUAUUUAACAAUAAUUUAAAUAGUUUGUGAUCAGCUGUUAGGAUGGAUUUUAAUACUAUUUAUCCCCAUAGCUUUUGCCACUGCAUCGCAUGAAUGAGUUAUGAUAUAUGACUAUUACAUAUUUUUAUAGUAUUAACCUUUUUUUUUUUGUAAUAAGUUUCAUAAGCUGAUAAUCUUAUAAUUUAUACAGUUAAACAUAAAAAGUCUGAUCCAGUGGCCUGCACUCACGUGAUAUUUAUAAUAUGGUCCUUUAAUUUUAUUUACUUACCUAAACUAGUUAAACGUUUUAAACAUUUUGCGUUUUCUUUAAAUUUAUUUUAUUUGUAAAAUAAUUAAUAAUAUAUAAUAUGUUAAAUAUAAAUAGUUUUAGUACUCAUAAAAGAUACAGUUGAUAAAAUAAUUUGAUGUGAGGAUAUCAUUGUAUAUUUACCUAUAAAUACAUUUUGAAAUUUGUGCAAAAUUGUUACCUAUAUAGGUAAAUGAGAUCUACCUAUAUAUUGUUUUGUAAUAAAUCCUUACGUUAGAACACCAAUAGGUAGUAGGUACUGACGGCAUUGACAUGAUAUUUGUAGACUGUACUUAUAAACGCUAUGAAAGUAUGAACCUAUUUAUUGUAUUUAAAUUUUAAUAAUUUAAAUGUUAGGUAUUUUAUUACGAUUGCCUAUAUCGAACCCCUUAAAAAGCUCUUAUAAUAUGCUGUUUUCUUUACCAAGAUUCACGUUUAUUUUUCUAAACAAUAUUUUCCGUUGAAUAAUUUAAACUCAAAAAGCCACUAGGAAGUAGUUUGAUAUUUAUUAAAACAUGACCUUUACGACUAAACAUAUAUUGUAUUGAAUAAACUAGCAGCACAUUAACGUCUAACACAUAAAUUGAGUUUUGUUUAUGUUAGUCCAGUGGACUAAAAGGUACAAAAAGGUCAAUCAAUUAUUUUAUAACCACGGACACGCAAAAAAAGUCUCAGGAAUAAUACAUCCAGCUGGUAGCUGCAGUCGUUUAAUUUAAGGUAAAAUGUUGUAACCAUUUAAAAAAAACUGCUUUAGACAACGUUGUACAGGAAAAAAUUAACGUGAUUUUCGCAAAAAAUGUUUCUUAGCGCAUUUUUAUUGAACACUCAGUCAUGGACGAUGGACCUAUUUGUUUUUUUUGUUGGGGGGGGGAGAGGAAGAGAAAAGAAUUAGGUUAUUUUUUAUUGCAAAUUCAAGCAUUUAGUUUUAAUUGUAUCAUACAAUAUCAACAUUAUGCACAUAAAAUAUCAUCUGUUUAUAAAUUAUAGAUGUUUAUAUUUUUUAGUAACUUAUUUUUUUAUAUUAUGGGCAAAUACUCAGGUCUGGUGCGUAACCGUUCCUCCUUUGCUCUUUAGAAAAUACCUACAGACGUAGAUAUAAUACAGAUAUAUUUUUCCUAAGUCGUGGGCUGAAAUAUUUGAUGGGGAUUUGCAAAACGCCUUUUAAUUUUAAUUUCAUAAUUUGUUGCGACUUACAAGAUAUUUGAACAAUACGAGAGUGUAGGUACUAAGAUAAAAAAAAGACAUGUUUUAUUGAAUUAAGAAUCUUUGUAUUGAUAUGGUAAAUUCAAAUGAUAUUUAUAUUUAAUAAGUAAAUCGUAAUAUACCUACCUAACGUAUUUAAAAUAAAACAUUUUAUAGGUUAAAUUGUAUAUAUACCUAUAUUAGGUACACGGUACACGCAAGUCACUAUAGCUUUCAAGUAGGUAACCUAUAUAAGAGCUACAAAAAGUUAUAAAUUAAUAUCAACAAAAAAAACUUUUAAUCGAUUAUAAUUUUUUCAUUAUAUCGCGUAAUCGCGUGUGAUAAUUUGUGUCUUGUGUGUAUUAUUUCCUCAAAAGGUUUCUUAAUUUCCUAUUACUAUAAUAAUACAAUUUGUACCUACAAUGUAUCUACAUAUUUACAUGUAGUUUGUGAAAGAAUCAUAUUAUUAAAUUUACAGGUACCUAGGACAAAAAAUUGAUUUGUUGAUAAAAUAUCACAGUACCUAUAGUUAGGUACACGUCAAAAACAAUUUCCUGAACUUGAAAGGUACGUGUACACUGUACAUAUAUACAUAUAUAUAAUAUAAUGUAAGUAUUAAGCAGACUGUUCACGUGUCUGUCUGAUAUAAUCUGUAAAUUUUUUUCGUUCAUUGUCUAAUUUUUUGUCAGUAAGAUCGUCACAAGCUAGAGAUGCUCUCAAUUUUGCAGUAGUGUGUUCAAGAUCCUAAAAAAAAAAAAAAAAAUUAUGAAGAUUUUCAAAUUUUAAUAAUUAAAAUUAAUCCAUCAACAUUUAAAUCUAAAAGAAUGGUCCAAGUUUGAUAAAUACUAUGUUUAAUUAUACCGAAUUUAUAUUUUUGUUAAACCACUUUUAAGAUCUAUCAUUAGUACCUAUAAUUCUGCUUUUUAAAUAUAUUUUAAAAUCCUAAAAAUCAAAAUUUUAAUGUAUUCAUAUUAUUAAAUAAAAAAUAGGGUUGAGCAUGCUUGAUGAAUCAUUUGCAUAAUACCUUGUGAGUAGGGGGAUUACUUCACUAUGCUCGCUUCCAUUAGUCAACCCUCAUUUUUAAUAAUGAACGAUAACAGUAGGUUAUGUUUAAUAACUUUUUAUUUUAUUUUAGUUAUUAUGGUAAUAGAAAAACAAUUUCAUUAGGUACUUUUUAUAUAAUAACAUUACAUCAUUUAAUACACUAUUUAAUAUUAUAUUGAUUAAGUUUUUUUGUUUAUUAUUCUUAUGAACUAUAAUUAUUAUGAAUUACAAAGUAAAUGAAAAAAAAAAUGAAUUCGAUUAUUAUACUGCCAUAAGAAUAUAAGAUUGAAAUUUGAAAGUACUAAAGUUAAAUUGAUUUUACCAGAAUAUCAUGCAUAAGUGUAAUUAAUAAAUCCAAUAUAAACUGUACAUAGGUACCUAUUACAUAAAUUAUAAAUAUUGAAUGGACACGCGCCUAGAAAGCUAUAUAUGUAGUACCUACCUAUAUAAAUCAACCUUUAUUACUGUAAACUGUAAGGUAGGUAAUUCUAAAUAAAAUUAUGUUUUAUCUUAUAUGAUUUUAUAAGCACCUAGGUACCAAAAUUAGAUAUGUUUCUUAAAUACGGAAACACAUGCGUUUACUUUUACUAUACCUAUUAAUUGUUUUAAGGACAUUGUUAGUACGGUGUACGAAUUAUAGUUAUAAUUAUUAUAAUUCUUGUUUAUAUAGCUUGAUUUAUUUACUAAUUAAUAUAUUUGUAUUUGAAUUUAAUAGUAUUUUUAUAAUUUAUUUAGUAAGUAAUCAUUAAAAUUCAAUAUUAAAAUCCGUUAGGUACUAUUGAACUUGGGCAUCUGUAUAAGUGACUAAUGCUUAAAAAGUUGAAGUAUUUAAAUUAUACUAUACAAUCAACAUUCAACAUAUAGCGUUAGAGUUUGUCGGAAUUAUGGUGUAAUAUUAUUACUCACUUUUAAAAACGUUUCAUUCCUUUUUUUUGCGAUUUUCUUUUGUUUCUCCAUCUGCUCUCGGCGGAUUUUAAAAAAGUCUCCUUCUUCCAUCACUACCAUCGUCUUGCGCCUGUUCAAUCUGUGUAAAGUAACAAUAUUUAUUAUUAUUUUAAUGUAAUAUCGCAGAUAUUAUAUGAUUUAAUACAACAUUCACUAAAAGUAUACCUAGGUGAUAGAUUCUAAAAUAUUUUCAUUCAUCCAAUAAAAUAUUUAAGUCAUUUGAAUUUUUCAAACAAUUUAAAAAUGAUAUUUUUUACAAUUUAGUAUGUACCUACUUAAAGGUAGUGUAAAAUUGUAUUGAAAAGAAGUCUCUUUUCGUUUCUAAAUUUAGCUCUACGACAUACUAAUAAAAUUUCUUACAAACUUAAAUAAUAUAAACAAUAAAUUAUAAAAAAUAUUUUUUUAUAUUAUACCUUUUACGUCUAUGGUUUGUAUACUUACAUCUCUUUUAAUUGGUUUUCUAAGUGGAUUUCCCUGUCUAUAUAACCACGCAAUACUUGCCUGGCAAUGUCUUUUUCCGACAUAAUAUCUGUUGAACGUUAAAAAAUAUAAAACGCGCGUUUGAACGCAACGAAUGCAAUUCAUGAAAUGCCAUGUAAAUCGGCGAUUUGUUUAGACCACAUACAUAGUUAGUUGCUAAGGAGGGCAUAGUUACAAGGACGCCGGUAUCACGAGGGUGUCCUGUACAUAUUAUACUCGUCGUGUUAUAUAAUUCCAAUAUAUAUAUAUCUUUAUAAUAUAUAUUAUAAAUGUAAAAGAAUAGGAUUUUUUUAUGUACCCAUAUUUUGUAACGACGCUAUUUAACUUUUUUCCAUUUUUUUUUCACAGAAUUGUUCUAAAUACCUUCCUUAGUGUCACCGCGUCGUCCGAUUUUCAAGGGUUUGAUUUUAAAGGGUUGGAAUCGGUAAUGAUAUAUUUUUAAAAAAUAAAUAAAAAUAAAAUAUAAUAUAAUAAAAUAAAUAAAUAAAAUUAGUCAGGUUGUUAUACCAAUACUAUAUAAAAACCACGAUAUAACACAUAAUCAUUGUAUUUUAUCCACCGUAGUAAAAAACAAAAAUUGAUACAACUUUGGAAUUUAAGGGUUAGAAACUAUAAACUUACGUAUACAUCACGUGGCAGUGGCAACUAUCACAUAUAUAUAAAACGGUGCUCGAGCACAAGGCCGUAGCCAGGGGGACAUUAGGUUUCAAACCUCCACCCGAAAUUUUUUUUAAAAUAAGAUUGAAUAGUUAGAAUUUCAUAUUUUAUUACAUAAUAUCAUAAUAUAACAUAUUUAUACUUUAACCCCCCCCCCCUCCAAAAAAAAAAAAUAUAUAUUUUUCUGGCUACGGCCUUGCUCAGCACCCCUUUCAUGGAUAAUUAAAUGUAUUCACACAUAUUAUUAGACUUGGUACAUGGUAUGUGUGAAGUAAAUACAUUUUAAAAUUCAAGUUUUUAUAUAGCCAAUUCAAAAAAAAUCAAAAACCAUAUCAAAAUAAACUUUAAAUAUCAGUAGGGGUACUGUCUGUAUGUACUAAGUUUUUUUAAGCGAGCACCUUUACAAUUUUUUGAGAUAACCGCUACUGUCCAUCGCGGUCGUCGUGCUCCCGUGACCCUAUAUUUUAUACAACACUGCAGUACUCUACCUAUCACGGAAUCGGCUGCAGCAAACCUGAGUAUAGACAACCAGUGACCAUUAUAAUAGUUCAAUUCUCACGAAUGCUAUCGGUUCUCUUAACCCCCUUUUUUAUCCGUGUAUCCUGUGACAGUUAUUUUUAAGUAUUACCUAAUUUUUAAUUUUGUGAAAUAAUACUCACUAUUAUUAUAAUUAAUUGUGUUGUUUAAUUAUCUUUUGUCGAUCCACGUUAUAAUCCUCAUUCAAUAAUUAUUGAUACAGGCGAUUCAGGACUGCUAAAUUUCCACACCACCCUAGGGGUAUUAGCAUAGGCGC